RNAcentral lists this long non-coding RNA (418 nucleotides) under Carica papaya (papaya). RNAcentral's name for it is "long non-coding RNA (CPAP_LNC011658)". The record is from RNAcentral. Lineage: Eukaryota; Viridiplantae; Streptophyta; Magnoliopsida; Brassicales; Caricaceae.
GGUCUCGAAUCUCGACCCAGCAUCGAUCCACACCCCGACCGUGGCGGUUUUGGCCGCGAGGUUGGACUCAGUAGCGACCCGGAGGCCGUUGGGAAGGGUUGUCACACGAGUCUCCGGAGCGGAGAGGAUAUGAGUGUGGGAGGUGAGGGUUGGGUGCGGCGACCCGUACUUGAGGAAUCGCGGGUCGGGGUUCUCUAGCUUCUUGAGCUUGGAUUGAACAGAUUCAGCGAGACGAUCAUAGAUCAUGACAGAAGGAUCGGGUGGCGAAGGAGUGGUGGGGGGAGGAGAUUGAAGUGGAGAUGUGGCAACAGAGGAGGCCGUUGAUAAAGACCGUACAGUCUCCUUGAGAGAAGAUGGCUUCUGGGACCGCCGGGCUAAAGCUAGCAGGUGCUUGAUCGCCAUGGCUGAUGAGUUGGUU